GAACCUUUUCAGAUUCCGAUUCUCAAUUAGUCUAUGCUCUGAUUUCACCAUCAACACUUAUUUUUCUUCAAUUUUUAGUGAUUCUGUGUCACGACGCUAUUAAUUUCACCAGAAUAUACAUGCUUAUCCCCGAUCAACGUCGACCGGAUAGCGAUUCGGGUCGAACGAGGUUCGAGGAGCGGUGAUCUGAGUGGCCGCUUGAUCAAUUUAUCAAAAAGGCUCAUCCGUUUUUGGAAACAGAGGAAAUCCUCUUUGCUUAUUGUUCUUUAUGGAGCUUCUAAAUGCAACUUCCAACCGAGUCCUCCGAGUGGAAAAUAGAGAACGGGUGCGCGUGCGCGUGCAAGAGCAAGAGGAAAAUACAGAAGUGAGAGCAUGAAAACAAAGAAGUACAAGAAACGGUUUUCUGUUGUUCUCUAAGAAAAACAGGUCAAAUCUUUUUUUGGUGCAGUAGUUUUCUGAAGUCAUUUGUACGAAAUACCCAAAUAGUAUGUUGUUUGCGCUCACGCUCAUUGUUGUGUAUGGAAUUUGUAAAGUGGAGAAAUGAGGAUUCGUAGAUUAAUGUUGUUUGUUUUGCAUAGAAAAUAUAUUUUCUUAGUGAACUUAUUCUGAAAAUCCAAAAGGUGAAAUUUGACUGUUGUUAUGUUAUGAGCUUCAUCUUGGUUUCAUUUA
Molecule: long non-coding RNA, 669 nt
Organism: Cucumis sativus (cucumber)
Lineage: Eukaryota; Viridiplantae; Streptophyta; Magnoliopsida; Cucurbitales; Cucurbitaceae
Exons: 3
Source: RefSeq, a predicted model, not a curated record